This 77-nucleotide transfer RNA is filed under the name Vulcanisaeta distributa DSM 14429. Its description in RNAcentral is "tRNA-Lys (TTT) (tRNA-Lys-TTT-1-1)". It matches the Rfam family "tRNA". Rfam says of the family: Transfer RNA (tRNA) molecules are approximately 80 nucleotides in length. Their secondary structure includes four short double-helical elements and three loops (D, anti-codon, and T loops). Further hydrogen bonds mediate the characteristic L-shaped molecular structure. tRNAs have two regions of fundamental functional importance: the anti-codon, which is responsible for specific mRNA codon recognition, and the 3' end, to which the tRNAs corresponding amino acid is attached (by aminoacyl-tRNA synthetases). tRNAs cope with the degeneracy of the genetic code in two manners: having more than one tRNA (with a specific anti-codon) for a particular amino acid; and 'wobble' base-pairing, i.e. permitting non-standard base-pairing at the 3rd anti-codon position. The record is from RNAcentral. Lineage: Archaea; Thermoproteati; Thermoproteota; Thermoprotei; Thermoproteales; Thermoproteaceae. RNAcentral also lists the same sequence under 3 other names.
GGGCCCGUAGCUCAGCCAGGUAGAGCGGCGGGCUUUUAACCCGUAGGUCGUGGGUUCGAAUCCCACCGGGCCCGCCA